GGGGGCGUACUUGGCUUCGACGGGGGUACGUAGCGUUUAGUAAGCGGGUCGAGGAAAUUCUGGAGCCUCGUUAAUCAGCUAGAAACUUAAAGAUAAACGCAGAAGAUAAUUUUGCUUUAGCAGCUUAGUCUGCUACGUUCUACCCGAGAGUCCCACGGCUUGGGAUAGGGCGUCGACUAGUGGGGACCCGAGCUUAGCAAAGCUUUGAGCUAAGAACGGAAUUAAUGAAGCUACUGAAACUAGAAGCCUGUUUAUGGGCGUCUAGUAGAGGGAAUGUUAAAUCAUAAAAUACACUCGUAGAAAGCUAAAUGGGACGAUCUUCGGACAGGGGUUCGACUCCCCUCGCCUCCACCA
Molecule: transfer-messenger RNA, 354 nt
Filed under: Hathewaya proteolytica
Lineage: Bacteria; Bacillati; Bacillota; Clostridia; Eubacteriales; Clostridiaceae
Also listed under: 1 other name
Description: Standard tmRNA
Rfam family: transfer-messenger RNA
About the family: Bacterial tmRNA, also known as 10Sa RNA or SsrA, is named for its dual tRNA and mRNA-like properties.
Source: RNAcentral